AGAGUUUGAUCCUGGCUCAGAUUGAACGCUGGCGGCAGGCCUAACACAUGCAAGUCGAACGGUAACAGGAAGAAGCUUGCUUCUUUGCUGACGAGUGGCGGACGGGUGAGUAAUGUCUGGGAAACUGCCUGAUGGAGGGGGAUAACUACUGGAAACGGUAGCUAAUACCGCAUAACGUCGCAAGACCAAAGAGGGGGACCUUCGGGCCUCUUGCCAUCGGAUGUGCCCAGAUGGGAUUAGCUAGUAGGUGGGGUAACGGCUCACCUAGGCGACGAUCCCUAGCUGGUCUGAGAGGAUGACCAGCCACACUGGAACUGAGACACGGUCCAGACUCCUACGGGAGGCAGCAGUGGGGAAUAUUGCACAAUGGGCGCAAGCCUGAUGCAGCCAUGCCGCGUGUAUGAAGAAGGCCUUCGGGUUGUAAAGUACUUUCAGCGGGGAGGAAGGGAGUAAAGUUAAUACCUUUGCUCAUUGACGUUACCCGCAGAAGAAGCACCGGCUAACUCCGUGCCAGCAGCCGCGGUAAUACGGAGGGUGCAAGCGUUAAUCGGAAUUACUGGGCGUAAAGCGCACGCAGGCGGUUUGUUAAGUCAGAUGUGAAAUCCCCGGGCUCAACCUGGGAACUGCAUCUGAUACUGGCAAGCUUGAGUCUCGUACAGGGGGGUAGAAUUCCAGGUGUAGCGGUGAAAUGCGUAGA
This 697-nucleotide ribosomal RNA is filed under the name uncultured bacterium. RNAcentral describes it as "bacterial SSU rRNA". It matches the Rfam family "Bacterial small subunit ribosomal RNA", at positions 8 to 694 of the family's 1533-position model. The record is from RNAcentral.